AGCAUGUAUAUUCCAACAACAAAUUAUAUUGGUCUAGGCAAAUGGAAUGAUUAUGCACAAUUUUAUUUCAUUUAUCUUAUUGUGUCAGCUGGUAAAAAUCUCAAACAACAUGUUGAGAGAUAUACAACCUCUAUAAAUUUAAUUUUGUGAUUUUGCCCAAAGCUGCGGUGCAUCCAUGUUUAACCAGUUUAAAAACAUGAGUUGCAAAGCUCCAAACCAACUCAAAUUAAAAAUCCUAAUUUAACCAGGACUCAAAGUUUAAUAUACAACUAAAAUUAAGCACUGAUAUGAUUCAAAACAGGAAUUUGUAAAAAGAG
This is a long non-coding RNA of Telopea speciosissima, 317 nucleotides long. RefSeq lists it as uncharacterized. Lineage: Eukaryota; Viridiplantae; Streptophyta; Magnoliopsida; Proteales; Proteaceae. The transcript is spliced from 2 exons. The record is from RefSeq and is a predicted model, not a curated record.